CCCUUAGAUGUUCUGGGCGGCCCGCGCACUACAAUGGCGUGUGCAGCGAGUGCCGAAGUAGAGUUUUCCGAGGUAUUCUUGCAAUGCUCGUUUUGAUGGGGAUAGACCCUUGCAACUGUUGGUUUUGAACGAGGAAUUCCUUGUAAGCAUGGUUUAUCAUCCGACGCUGAAUGCGUCCCUGCCCUUUGUACACACCGCCCGUCGCUCCUACCGAUGAGUCGUCCGGUGAAGUUCGUAGACCUCGCGAUCGCGGAUCACUGGGGGAAGCAAAAUGAACCUCGCGGUUUAGAGGAAGGAGAAGUCGUAACA
This 309-nucleotide ribosomal RNA is filed under the name uncultured eukaryote. RNAcentral describes it as "partial 18S ribosomal RNA". It matches the Rfam family "Eukaryotic small subunit ribosomal RNA", at positions 1470 to 1796 of the family's 1831-position model. The record is from RNAcentral.